GUUCCUUCAUUAUGGUGAAAUCUCUCUAAAACUUAAGUGAGAGAUGUUCUAGUUUCUGAAGCACAAAUGAUUAGUUGGGUGUUAACAACCUGGUACAUUUCAGUUGCACUUAGUUACUUGUUUUCUUGAUAAGUCU
Non-coding RNA from Solanum lycopersicum (tomato), 136 nucleotides. The record is from Rfam. Lineage: Eukaryota; Viridiplantae; Streptophyta; Magnoliopsida; Solanales; Solanaceae.